UCCUUCUUAUCGAAGGCAGUUUCCAAAGAGUGCCUCCCUUGCGGGAGUAGCAACAUUGGAUAAGGGUUGCGCUCGUUGCGGGACUUAACCCAACAUCUCACGACACGAGCUGACGACAACCAUGCAGCACCUCUGCUGGCUCCGUUGCGGGUCAGCCCCUGUUUCCAAGGACUUACCACCAGUAGUUCAAGCCCAGGUAAGGUUCUUCGCGUUGCGUCGAAUUAAACCACAUGUUCCACCGCUUGUGCGGGCCCCCGUCAAUUCCUUUGAGUUUCAACCUUGCGGCCGUACUCCCCAGGCGGCUCAUUUAAUGCGUUAGCUGCGACGCGGAAGGGGUCGAUACCUCCCACAUCUAAUGAGCAUCGUUUAGGGCUAGGACUAC
RNAcentral lists this unclassified non-coding RNA (382 nucleotides) under uncultured Elusimicrobia bacterium. RNAcentral's name for it is "contains 16S-23S intergenic spacer region". Lineage: Bacteria; Pseudomonadati; Elusimicrobiota; Elusimicrobia. The record is from RNAcentral.